RNAcentral lists this long non-coding RNA (374 nucleotides) under Ficedula albicollis (Collared flycatcher). RNAcentral describes it as "lncRNA (ENSFALG00000028383.1)". The record is from RNAcentral. Lineage: Eukaryota; Metazoa; Chordata; Aves; Passeriformes; Muscicapidae.
UGGUCUGGGUUUGGGAUCUGUGAUCCAGCUUUGGGAUCUGGGUUUAGGGUCCAGAAUCCAUCGUUGGGAUCCAGAAUCUGGGUUUAGGAUCCAGAAUCCAUCGUUGGGAUCCAGAAUCUGGGUUUGGGAUCCAGGAUCCAUCUUUGGGAUCCAGAAUCUGGGUUUGGGAUCCAGAAUCCACCUUUGGGAUCCAGAAUCCAUCAUUGGGAUCCAGAAUCCACCUUUGGGAUCCAGGAUCCGGGUUUGGGAUCCAGGCUCCACCUUUGGGGUCCCACCUGUGUCUGCCCCCCUCCCCCUCCCCUGGGGGGGGGGGGGGGGGGGGGGGGGGGGGGGGGGGGGGGGGGGGGGGGGGGGGGGGGGGGGGGGGGGGGGGG